GGGCCUACGGGGCGCAGCAGUGGGGGAUAUUGCGCAAUGGGGGGAACCCUGAUGCAGCGACGCCGCGUGGGUGAAGGAGCGUUUCGGCGCGUAAAUCCCUAUCGGCAGGGAAGAAGAUGACGGUACCUGACCAAGAAGCCCCGGCUAACUACGUGCCAGCAGCCGCGGUAAUACGUAGGGGGCAAGCGUUAUCCGGAUUUACUGGGUGUAAAGGGAGCGUAGACGGCGAGGCAAGCCUGAAG
RNAcentral lists this ribosomal RNA (242 nucleotides) under uncultured bacterium. Its description in RNAcentral is "partial 16S ribosomal RNA". It matches the Rfam family "Bacterial small subunit ribosomal RNA", at positions 335 to 594 of the family's 1533-position model. The record is from RNAcentral.